This 274-nucleotide ribosomal RNA is filed under the name uncultured bacterium. RNAcentral's name for it is "partial 16S ribosomal RNA". It matches the Rfam family "Bacterial small subunit ribosomal RNA", at positions 523 to 796 of the family's 1533-position model. The record is from RNAcentral.
AUACGGAGGAUGCAAGCGUUAUCCGGAUUUAUUGGGUUUAAAGGGUUCGUAGGCGGAAAAUUAAGUCAGUGGUGAAAGCCUGCAGCUCAACUGCAGAACUGCCAUUGAUACUGAUUUUCUUGAAUUUAUAUGAAGUGGGCGGAAUGCGUCAUGUAGCGGUGAAAUGCACAGAUAUGACGCAGAACACCAAUUGCGAAGGCAGGUCACUAAUGUAAUAUUGACGCUGAGGAACGAAAGCAUGGGGAGCGAACAGGAUUAGAAACCCCAGUAGUCC